CCUUUACUACUGAAUCAUAUAAGGGUUUUCCAUUUGAUGAUGACGUACAGUGGUGUAUAUUAAUAACUACAGAACAAUUUGAUCAUAUUCCUUCUUCAUUUUAAUGAACCGAAACAUUAUGUGGUCAUUCUAGCAUUUAGUCUGAAGCCGUGACUGAUAGAGCGAACACUUGUGAACUUUCACUAAGAAAACGUCUAGCUGUGUACAUAUAUUAACAUUAAUAUUGCCUUACGCAGCUGUUGAAAUUGAAGGCUAUCUAGAAAAAUAAGUCAAUCAACCAUCUGAUGAAUGCAAGGCAAGCAGACAGGAUCUAUGGGGUCAAGGGCUUAAUAAAUGGCAAAAAAGAAGACAUGCAACUCGCACAAUGAAUCAUGAAGAAACCAUGAUUCCAGGUCAAAUAUACCAGUCAUGGCUUCAAAAUGCUUCUGAUAUUGCCUCUAGAAGAGGAAUAAAAUGAAAGGUUCGUGCUUGCUCUUCAACAUGGUUCACUUUUCUAACCUGGGCAAUGAAUCUUUUGAUUAUCAUGUAAGUCAGGAGACAAUUGGAUAGGCUAAGAAUAUACUAACAUGUCCACCAUUGUUUAAAAUUUCAAUUGUUGGAUGUAUCUACCCUUGCAAAACAAACAUUAAAGUGAAAAGCAAAGGAGCCUUGGACAACAUACUGCAUAUUUUGCAGGAAUGCAGGGAUAUUACGUCUUAUUGGAGUAGCUAACCUGAUGGAUCUGCCACCUCUGUUCCUUAUUGAUGAUUUAUGUGCAUAUGAAUAUAGAGAGAUCUAUUAUUCA
Long non-coding RNA from Manihot esculenta (cassava), 784 nucleotides. RefSeq lists it as uncharacterized. The record is from RefSeq and is a predicted model, not a curated record. The transcript is spliced from 2 exons. NCBI's taxonomy places the organism in Eukaryota, Viridiplantae, Streptophyta, Magnoliopsida, Malpighiales, Euphorbiaceae.